Molecule: ribosomal RNA, 485 nt
Filed under: Siphonidium ramosum
Lineage: Eukaryota; Metazoa; Porifera; Demospongiae; Tetractinellida; Siphonidiidae
Description: SSU rRNA
Rfam family: Eukaryotic small subunit ribosomal RNA
Source: RNAcentral
UAAAAAGCUCGUAGUUGGAUUUCGGGGCGGCCCGGCUGGUCCGCCGCGAGGCGAGCACUGGUCGGGCGCCCUUCCUCUCGAAGGCUUCGACUGCUCUUCGUUGCGGUGGUCGAGGAGUUCGGGACGUUUACUUUGAAAAAAUUAGAGUGUUCAAGGCAGGCCUCCGCCUGAAUACGUUAGCAUGGAAUAAUGGAAGAGGACCUCGGUCCUAUUUUGUUGGUUUCCAGGGCCGAAGUAAUGAUUGAGAGGGACAGUUGGGGGCAUUCGUAUUCAAUUGUCAGAGGUGAAAUUCUCGGAUUUAUGGAAGACGAGCGAGUGCGAAAGCAUUUGCCAAGGAUGUUUUCAUUAAUCAAGAACGAAAGUUGGGGGUUCGAAGACGAUCAGAUACCGUCGUAGUCCCAACCAUAAACUAUGCCGACCAGGGAUCGGCGGAUGUUAGCAUCUGACUCGUCGGCACCUUACGAGAAAUCAGAGCGUUUGGGUUC